UACGUAGGAUGCAAGCGUUGUCCGGAAUUAUUGGGCGUAAAGAGUUCGUAGGUGGUUACUUAAGUCUGGUGUUAAAGACUGAAGCUCAACUUCAGCAUGGCAUUGGAUACUGGGUGGCUAGAGUGUGGAAGAGGUAACUGGAAUUCCUGGUGUAGCGGUGAAAUGCGCAGAUAUCAGGAGGAACACCCGUGGCGAAAGCGAGUUACUGGUCCAUUACUGACACUGAGGAACGAAAGCUAGGGUAGCAAAAGGG
RNAcentral lists this ribosomal RNA (253 nucleotides) under uncultured bacterium. RNAcentral's name for it is "partial 16S ribosomal RNA". It matches the Rfam family "Bacterial small subunit ribosomal RNA", at positions 524 to 776 of the family's 1533-position model. The record is from RNAcentral.